UUAGUCGGUUAGUAGAUCUGGUAAGUGUUAGGAUAAAUACACAGUGUCUUUUGCAAGCAAGACAAUUAAUCGAUGAUUUGAUUUCAUCUGUCUACAAUCUGUCUACAAUUCUUCUCUGCCUUCUCUAUAGAAUCGCAUCUCCUCUUUCUCAUCUUCAGUAAGCUCGCUAAUGGCGGAACCUAGGGAUGGAAUUUAACAUGGUAUUAAAGCCAUGGUUCUUGGCGAUUCAAGUAGCGAGCUUCUACAUUGAUUGAGUACAUUCAUUUCUCCCCUCUUCUACCCAUUUUAGGUCUUCGAUUUCUCUCUGGUUGAAUUUUCCUAAUUCAUCAAAAUUGUUAGUUUUCUGCACAUAUGACGAACAAUUCACCUCAAAUCACAGCUAGAUCUUUGUAUGCAAACACUCAACAGAUCGAUUGCAAUGAUCCGCUGUAUGUUCAUCCCUCGAAUAAACCACGAUUGUCAGUCAUUCCUCAAUUGUUGAUUGGAACUGAGAACUACUCAGACUGUAGACGAUCUAUGGAAAUGUCACUCCUAGUGAAGAAUAAACUAGGAUUUGUUGAUGGAGCUUGUGCGAGAGAGUAAUAUGAAAAAAUGCCUUUCAAUUAUGCCAAUGGGAUCAUUGUAAUUCAAUAGUUCAGUCUUGGAUCCAGAGCUCAGUGGUGAAGGAGCUUAGAAAAAGAAUUCUCUAUUCCUCAAAUGCGUAGAAAGUAUAGAAAGCACUUACGAAUCGUUUUAAUAAGGUAAAUGCGACUUAGGUUUAACAUAUGAACAGGGAAAUUAGUUGUUUGAUGCAGGGGAUUUCAAGUGUAUCAGUAUACUUUUCUAAUUUGAAUGAUCUUUGGGAUGUGUUUGAGUCGAUAAUUCCUCAACCACGUGACUGUAAAAAUUCCAAACUUUUUGUUGAGUUUCUUCGUCAACAGAAACUUAUGAAGUUCUUAAUGGGUCUAAAUGAUACCUAUGCACCACAAAGAAGGCAAAUAUUGAUGAUGCAACCAAUGCCUUCUCUGGGCCAAGAAUACUCGAUGAUAAUUCAAGAGGAAGGCCAGAGGCUAAGCAAUGGUUAUGGUGCACAAACUGGGGUUUUGGGAAGUGGACCUGUGAACACUGAGAGUAGCUCUUUUGUUUAAGCAAAUAGCUCAAGUGUAAAGUACAGGAAGAAUGCAAAUAUGCAAUGUGAUUACUGCAAAUUGAAAGGACACCAAAGGGACACAUGCUAUAAACUGGUGGGCUAUCCACCGGGAUUUAAAUUCAACAACAAAAGGAGAGGUGGUUAUGACAAUCACACAUCAGUAGCACAUAAUGUGAGUGUUAUGGAAGAAACUCAGUACGUAGGAAAUGCUGGAAAUGGGAUGACAAAUGGUAUGGUUAAUGCAAUAACUCCAAUCUUCACACCUGAGAAAUAUCAACAGAUUAUCAAAAUGCUAAGCAAGGAGAAAGGACUAGCGGAAUAAAAAGGAUCAACAGAAGUAGCCAACAUGAUAUACAAGAGAAUUAAAGUUUGUAGUCGCUUUUUAUCCUAUUUUGGUCUCUUUCAAGACCUCUUCAGUGGAAAGGUAAGGGGGAUUGAUAGCCUCAAGGAUGGACUCUACAUCCUCAAUCCUUCAAAGCCUGCUGCUCUUCCUGUCUCCACAUGUAUGACUACUUUACCUAGCCUUCCUCAAGUCUUUGUUGGAAUCAAAGACUUGGCCAUUCUCCUCAUUCAGUUCUAUGAAAAUACCUACAAUAAAGACAUUGUUUUCUAGUUCAGAUACAUGCAACUGUCAUGUUUCUUCACUAGCUAAGCAAAUUAGGUUACAUUUUCCUACUAGUACUUCAAAAUCAAGUUGUACAUUUGAACUUGUUCACAUGAAUGUAUGAGGUUCUUGUAGAGUGUGUACUGUGUACCUACAAUGGCAAUAUAUACUUUCUUACUCUUGUUGAUGAUUA
Long non-coding RNA from Nicotiana attenuata, 1926 nucleotides. RefSeq lists it as uncharacterized. The record is from RefSeq and is a predicted model, not a curated record. Lineage: Eukaryota; Viridiplantae; Streptophyta; Magnoliopsida; Solanales; Solanaceae. The transcript is spliced from 2 exons.